GUUUACAUGAUGAUACCAUUCUGUCCAGAAAUUACAUGUUGGCAACAAUGAGCUUUUUAACACUGAAAAUU
Molecule: small nucleolar RNA, 71 nt
Organism: Coccinella septempunctata (seven-spotted ladybird)
Lineage: Eukaryota; Metazoa; Arthropoda; Insecta; Coleoptera; Coccinellidae
Source: RefSeq, a predicted model, not a curated record